Molecule: long non-coding RNA, 572 nt
Filed under: Nicotiana benthamiana
Lineage: Eukaryota; Viridiplantae; Streptophyta; Magnoliopsida; Solanales; Solanaceae
Description: long non-coding RNA (NBEN_LNC019857)
Source: RNAcentral
AAAAUUUUAAAGCCAAAUCCACUGAGAGAUCCUUUUUCGCCUCUCAACAUUGACCUGUAUAACAAUGAUUCGCAAUCAGACCAUCCACCAGAUUGGUCUAUGAAGAUGAACCCACAAUGUAUAAGUAAUAAUGCUGGACCUACUGAAUCCCAUGGUGAGACAGAAAACACUGCUGGUUCUGACAAUACGAAUAUUAUCGUUCCUUUAAGUGGUUCAGACUUUUCACAUGAGCAAUUGAUGAAAAACGAUUCAGGCAAAGAUAAUAUAAAAACUGGGCCAAAUGGAUCUCAAUCUGAAAAGGAGCUACACUGCCGGUUCCGACAAUACGAAUAUUAUGAAGAUGAACCCACAAUGUAUAAGUAAUAAUGCUGGACCUACUGAAUCCCAUGGUGAGACAGAAAACACUGCUGGUUCUGACAAUACGAAUAUUAUCGUUCCUUUAAGUGGUUCAGACUUUUCACAUGAGCAAUUGAUGAAAAACGAUUCAGGCAAAGAUAAUAUAAAAACUGGGCCAAAUGGAUCUCAAUCUGAAAAGGAGCUAGAAAAUGGUUAUGAUGAUAUUGAUAUCAACA